ACGCACGCUGGCGGCGUGCUUAACACCUGCAAGUCGAGCGGUAAGGCUCCUUCGGGAGUACACGAGCGGCGAACGGGUGAGUAACACGUGAGUAAUCUGCCCUUCACUUCGGGAUAACCACCGGAAACGGUGGCUAAUACCGAAUACGACCAGUCUUCGCAUGAGGUGCUGGUGGAAAGUCUUUUCGGUGAAGGAUGUGCUCGCGGCCUAUCAGCUUGUUGGUGGGGUAAUGGCCUACCAAGGCUUCGACGGGUAGCCGGCCUGAGAGGGUGACCGGCCACACUGGGACUGAGACACGGCCCAGACUCCUACGGGAGGCAGCAGUGGGGAAUAUUGGACAAUGGGCGAAAGCCUGAUCCAGCAACGCCGCGUGAGGGAUGACGGCCUUCGGGUUGUAAACCUCUUUCAGUACCGACGAAGCGCCCUGUCGGGUGGUGACGGUAGGUACAGAAGAAGGACCGGCCAACUACGUG
Molecule: ribosomal RNA, 473 nt
Filed under: uncultured bacterium
Lineage: Bacteria
Description: partial 16S ribosomal RNA
Rfam family: Bacterial small subunit ribosomal RNA
Source: RNAcentral